GAUGAACGCUGGCGGCGUGCCUAAUACAUGCAAGUCGAGCGAACAGACGAGGAGCUUGCUCCUCUGACGUUAGCGGCGGACGGGUGAGUAACACGUGGAUAACCUACCUAUAAGACUGGGUUAACUUCGGGAAACCGGAGCUAAUACCGGAUAAUAUAUUGAACCGCAUGGUUCAAUAGUGAAAGACGGUUUUGCUGUCACUUAUAGAUGGAUCCGCGCCGCAUUAGCUAGUUGGUAAGGUAACGGCUUACCAAGGCAACGAUGCGUAGCCGACCUGAGAGGGUGAUCGGCCACACUGGAACUGAGACACGGUCCAGACUCCUACGGGAGGCAGCAGUAGGGAAUCUUCCGCAAUGGGCGAAAGCCUGACGGAGCAACGCCGCGUGAGUGAUGAAGGUCUUCGGAUUGUAAAACUCUGUUAUUAGGGAAGAACAAAUGUGUAAGUAACUAUGCACGUCUUGACGGUACCUAAUCAGAAAGCCACGGCUAACUACGUG
RNAcentral lists this ribosomal RNA (497 nucleotides) under uncultured bacterium. RNAcentral describes it as "partial 16S ribosomal RNA". It matches the Rfam family "Bacterial small subunit ribosomal RNA", at positions 28 to 507 of the family's 1533-position model. The record is from RNAcentral.